RNAcentral lists this unclassified non-coding RNA (152 nucleotides) under uncultured Xylariales. Its description in RNAcentral is "sequence contains ITS1". Lineage: Eukaryota; Fungi; Ascomycota; Sordariomycetes; Xylariales. The record is from RNAcentral.
CAGAGUUGUAAAACUCCCAAACCCAUGUGAACAUACCUGUUGCCUCGGCGGCCUACCUGGUCGGCUACCCUGUAGCUACCCUGUAGUCCGCCGGCGGAUUUUCAAAAACUCUUGUUUUCAGUUGUAUCUCUGAGAAUAAAACAAAUAAGUCA